RNAcentral lists this long non-coding RNA (579 nucleotides) under Ananas comosus (pineapple). RNAcentral describes it as "long non-coding RNA (ACOM_LNC016987)". The record is from RNAcentral. Lineage: Eukaryota; Viridiplantae; Streptophyta; Magnoliopsida; Poales; Bromeliaceae.
AGUCUGGGUUUACUAACCGCACCUCCCCUCCCCACUUUAGCCCAGCACGCCUCCCAACGCCCUCCUGCUUUUUCCUUUCUCCCCGUUCCCCUUCUUCCUCUUUCUCACCCCGAAGCCUUCACCUCCGGAUCUGCCUUCUCCCCAAGCCCCUCUACUCCAGCCGAAGCCUUCACCUGCGGCCUUGCCUCCUCCCGACGCCCCUCUACUCUGGUCAAACCUUCACCUCCGGCAUGAAGCCUGUCCCCGAAGCCCCUUCACCUACGGAUCUGCCUCACUCCGGCCCGAAGCCCAAACCCGAAGCCCCUUCACCUCCGGAUCUGCCUCCUCCCGAAGCCCCUCCACUCCGGCCGAAGCCCCUCCACUCCGGCCGAAGCCCUUCACCUCCGGCCCGAAGCCCUUUCCCGAAGCCCCUUCACCUACAAUUCCGCCUCCUCCCGACGCCUCUCCACUCCGGCCGAAGCCCUUCAUAUCCAGCCCGAACCCCUUCUCCGAAGCCCCUCCACGGCCGGAUCUGCCUCUUCGCGACGCCCCUCUACUCCGGCCGAACCUUCACCUCUAGCCCGAAGCCCUUCCCCAAAG